Molecule: ribosomal RNA, 304 nt
Filed under: uncultured bacterium
Lineage: Bacteria
Description: partial 16S ribosomal RNA
Rfam family: Bacterial small subunit ribosomal RNA
Source: RNAcentral
CAGCAGCCGCCGCGGUAAUACGUAGGGGGCGAGCGUUGUCCGAAGUUACUGGGCGUAAAGAGCGCGUAGGCGGGUCUUUAAGUGAGGGGUGAAAGGUUCAGUGCUCAACCCGGACACUGCCUUUCAUACUGGAGACCUUGAGUGUGGGAGAGGCGAGUGGAAUGGUCGGUGUAGCGGUGGAAUGCGUAGAUAUCGAUCGGAACACCCAUGGCGAAGGCAGCUCGCUGGCCUAUAACUGACGCUGAGGCGCGAAAGCGUGGGGAGCAAACAGGAUUAGAUACCCCCGUAGUCCCUGUCUCUUAUA